Molecule: ribosomal RNA, 319 nt
Filed under: uncultured Actinomyces AM1
Lineage: Bacteria; Bacillati; Actinomycetota; Actinomycetes; Actinomycetales; Actinomycetaceae
Description: bacterial SSU rRNA
Rfam family: Bacterial small subunit ribosomal RNA
Source: RNAcentral
CAGGACGAACGCUGGCGGCGUGCUUAACACAUGCAAGUCGAACGCUGAAGCUCAGCUUGCUGGGUGGAUGAGUGGCGAACGGGUGAGUAACACGUGAGUAACCUGCCCCCUUCUUUGGGAUAACGCCCGGAAACGGGUGCUAAUACUGGAUAUUCACUGAUCUUCGCAUGGGGGUUGGUGGAAAGGUUUGUUCUGGUGGGGGAUGGGCUCGCGGCCUAUCAGCUUGUUGGUGGGGUGAUGGCCUACCAAGGCUUUGACGGGUAGCCGGCCUGAGAGGGUGACCGGUCACAUUGGGACUGAGAUACGGCCCAGACUCCUA